GUACAUCUCUGCACGUUCUCUUCCGGCCGGAGUCAGUGGCGGGGUUCUCGCCGGUCCUGCGGGUCGCUGCUUGGCUGUGGGUUAGCAGCACCCUGAGCGGAGCGGAAGAGCUGCCCGCCGCCGCGUAACCCCGAGGCCGAGACUCCUGGCCUGGCCUCCUUGGGCCCACGACGCCUGCCCCGCGGAGCGGACCCAUGGGCCUGAGGUUUGUGUGCGGGGCCUCAGGCGAGCGCUGGCGCAGCCUGUCCCCCAUCGUCUGCGCCCUGCGGGCCUGGCCCUCCCCGUGGAAGGACCGCGGGCUUCGGGGCCCCACGCUGGGGGGCUGACUCCUGCCACACACACAGCGGUGGCCGCGGGCCUGGGGCGGCAGCACAGCCAUUCUGCUCGGGCUGCGUGAGCUGACCCCGCUCUCUGUGCACCUACUUUUGCUGCGUUUGGUGCUGAGCCUGAAGUCCCAGGACAGGCGGCUGAGGGGGAAAGAUGGUGUGAAUUGGGUGGGCAGAGACAACUGAAAGCCACAGGACCCGGUUGGCACCUUUUUGGCCGCCUGCGCCUUUGCCUGCAGCCCCGCUCCCUGGGUCACCCGAAGGAGGAGCUGGCGCUCUUUCCGGGCGCAGAAGCACCCGACCCACGCUGGAGGAAACGGUCCCUCUGGGCAGGAGAAGCUUUGGGCCUGGCUGGAGCACACUCACGGAACCACGCCAACGCCUGGCCUGUAGCCAGCUCCCACCUCCCCUCCCACCUUCUAAAAUGCUUGCGGAUCUCACGUGGCCGACCCUAACCAGAUACACAUGGGGAAAGGAAUCAGGUGGCACACAUACCGCCUUUACUCCAUAGAGAACUUCCAAUUGUGGGUAAGAACAAAGCCCCACCUCUUCCUAAUAGAUGCAGUUUUCCACCUGCAGCCAAAAAGACAACCUGUUAUUAGCUUUUUUCCCAGAGGACAGGCAUCUCUAUGAAACUGCCAUUGCAAAAUUUGCCGACAGUGAGAUAACCAGCUCCAUUUUGCUUCUAACCUCCAUGCCCUCCUUGUUUACUGCUGCACGCAGGUUGAACUGUGGGAGGAACUUAGUUUAAAACAAAGAUGAUAACAGCCCUUUCCCAAAGGAAACCUUUCCUGGGGAUUAGCCUGCUUUUGUGGGACCAACAGAUUAGCCACAAGAUUAGAAACUACGGUUGAAGAGUCACGCAGCGGGAGGCUACAGGAUUCUGACCCUCCCCAAACUGCUCCUGGCGAUAACAUCACCAUCGUAAAGCCUAAGAUCAGCACUUGGUGGGUCACCUGGCACCACCCAGGCUCAUCUGAUGUUGUGGCACCCAGGAACUGACUCAGUGCGAAAACAGCUUCGACUCCCUGUGAUUUCAUCUCUGACCUGACCAAUGGGUACUUCUGACUCACUGGCUGCCCCCCACCCACCAGCUUAUCUUUAAAAACUCCAAACCCCAGAUGCUCAGGGAGACCGAGUAAUAAUAAAACUCCAGUCUCCCACACAGCUAGCUCUGCGUGAAUUACCUUUUCUCUGUUGCAAAUGCCCUUUCUUGAUAAAUUGGCUGUCUAGGUAACAGGGAAGGUGAACCCACUGGGCAGUUACACUUUUAUCCACCCUUCCAGCUGGAUCACGCGCCCUCUUCAAUGACAUGACACGCAGCUAGAGUGUAUGAGCUUGCUGCCGGCACCUUCCGUCCUGGAUCGCAUAGCAAGGCCUCAAUGGACAGCCAGGUGCCUGGUCCGGUCCCACUUUUUUUUCUGUCCUGUUCUCGUUUCCUCUUUGCUUGGCCAAAGAGGGUUGGGCCAGGGUCCUGAGUGCAAAGGCUUGGCUUGGUGAAUUAAAGUGGCAGUAGCCGUGUGGCAGAGAAAAUUUGUAGAUGGGUGAAAUCCUGGGCCUACACAGUGACAAAGUGUAUAUAGACAGCCAGCCUAGUUGGUGGAUGUGACAACCCCAGACUCUUCUAGAUUUGUGGAUCCGUGCACCUGCCAGACCUGUCUCUGAGCCAUCUGGGGAGGCUGGGUAAGAUUUCCCCCGUCAGGGCCUGAGCCUCAUCUCCAAGCUGCUGGCUUCAGCCCAGCUGCCACCAGCGCUGUCUCUGUCUUGCGCUUUCCAGAGAGAGACUGACUCAUUUUGAGCUCCAGGCCUACCAGGCAGCCCAACCGCGGCAGUAACUGCCUCUCACACUGAGGAUGGCUCAUGCUCUGGUCCAGCCAUGGCUUGAACACCUCCCAACAAGAACAAAGCCAGACUCAUUCUCCCUAGCAUCUUCUUCCUUGCUCAAAGAUCCCACACCCCGUUAGAAGCUGGAACUGGGUCCUUGUCACCUUCCUCACCUCCCCAGUCGUAGUCUGGUUAAUCCUUACAUCUCACCACGGUCACCGUGGCUAGAUGUGACCUCCGCGAUGCUUCAGGCACGUACCAGGGCAGCCUGGGCAGGGCUGGUCACUGUGAUCUCAUGAGGUGUGAACUUGACCCCGGCCUUCUUUCCUGGGAUGCCGGCUAAGGACACAAGUUCAGUGUUUGCCCUGGCUUGUAGCCCAGCGGGGGCUCCGUCAUCCCCUGGGGAAUGCCUCGGCCUGCAAGACCGCAUACCGCAUUGGAACAGGGAAACCACCUACUUCAGCACCUCCCUCAGCAAGGUGGCAGGUCCCAACAAGCCUUGCACCACGAGGAAGUGGCAGUGGCAUUCGGGAUAUGGCUCCCUGGCCAGCUUGUGAAGUUCAAGGGGCUCGUUACUUCUUACAGCUCACAGUCCCUCCCGGGUCCAGCACACCUGAGGGCUGACCUCCCUCUUGAUUAGUGCAGGGGAAAAGCACUUUAAAAAGCUGUGUCAUGCGUAACUUGCACAUCUUCUGAUUCUGACCUGAAACUGCAUCCCAGGUCGGCACAGACGCAACCCAGUCUCCUCCCACCUCCGAGAGUGCAGUGUCCUGAAUGGAGAACCCCAGCACCCAGAAGCAUCCACUGAAGGACGUACUUCUUUGAUAGUGCCUCCAUGCAUGCAGAAGAUGACGUGGAGAGCUCCGCGCGGCACAGGGCAGGAAGCUGGUGUGCACUCUCAUGGAUCCGAAGCCAACACACGCCUCUCAACUGAGGACUCUGCCCCUCUGGCAUUCUUCCAGCCACCAGCCCUGGGGGCCAGGAGCCACUGAGUGGGUCACACAGCCUUAGAGGGCAACGAGGGCAGGAGCUCGCCCUGGCGGUCCCCAUGCAGACAAGAGGGUCACUGGCUUCCUUGCUUUGCUCUUCCUGGACAUCUUCCUCGACAUUCAUCUUUCCAUCCUACCAAGAGCGUGGAAACCACAGGGCAUGAGGACAGGCGGAGACAACGCUGGACCAUCUCACAGCCACAUCAAGAGGCUGCCCACAUCAGGGCUUUCUACGUGGUUGCAAGGAACACAAACCUGUGUGCUCCAUUUGCCCACUGGCACUAGGCCUCCUGCCCACCACCCGCUUCUAGGCUAUUCGAGCCGCAGGAGCUACAGGCUGCUAGAGAACCCUGCGGCAGGAUGCUGGGCGCGGUUCAGCUUUUGCCAGGGAGCAGCAUGGGACUGGGAUUUGGAAGGUGUACAGUGGCUGCGGGCUUUAGCAGGAGGAGUGUCUACAGCACCUUCUGCUCCUCCAGGUAACCUAGUGUUUUUAUCAGUAUCCAUUUUCCUGUGUGGAUCUCUUCUGCUUGAAACCUGUCCUGCCUAUUUUUCUUCCCUGGACCCUGACUGAUACACUCUUAAAACGAGAAAAGGGUACCGAUUUAUAAAGUUCGUGAAUUAAAAACUACACCAGUCAUGGAAACUCAAUGACAUCACUCAAAGAAAAUUCACAACUCUAGCCUUGAGUUAGCUCCCUCAAUAGUAUGAUGAGGUCAUGCAGAUAGAAUCAUACAGUUAUUAACAAAAGUAGUUGAUGUUAACCGAGUAAUCAGUUUUAUCUGUGUUCCUUUGAGACAGAGAGAGAGAGUGAGAAAGAGAGCGUGAGCAAGUGAGUGCACAUACUAUUGUUAAAGUCUUCUCUCUAAAGUUUUAAUAUCUGAUAUACCAUAAACACCCAGAUAAAGAACUUUAGAGAAACUGGUUAAAAAGAUUUAAAAUUCCCAACUGUAAUAAAUCCCUAAAAUGAAUACCAAAAAAAUGUUUUUAAAUUAAAAAAAGAGAGAGAAAGAGAAAAUGAAGGCAAACAUCUUACUUUGUAGGAAAGCAAACGCCUGUCAUCUUUAUCUAGCACGAAGCCAUCAUUCAGAUCAUCUGCUGACAUAUGUUUUGGUUUCUUAACAUUUUCAUCCUCAUCCUUUCCAAGCAUUCUUCGAAGUCUCUCAGCCUGAGCAGGAAGGAAUGAGAUGUCUUAGAGCACACUCUUCCAACAUAUGGUGAGGGGGCCGUGCAGUCCUGCCCUGGGCAGCGGGCUGGGCCUACGGUCCUCCCAGCUCUGAGGCUGGUGCAUCCAGCCUGCUUUCUGCCUGCAGUUUUCAAUCAGGCAUGCAAACACUAGCUAAGCAGCACAUUCCUCAUUUAACAAAAUCAACUGUUCAAACUUUGUGGCCAAUACUCUCCAGUCACCAGGCAAGCCUAUUAUUCUGAGGCCUUCACAGCCCAAUUCUGCUGGCCAGCCCCGACUGGGACUCAUCACCCCCUGCACCGAGAGAAUAGGAGCCAGGACGCCAAGAGCAAGCAGCUCCACGGCCUCCACUAUUUGACCACACACUGGACACGGGAAGAAGCUAGUGAUGUGGUUAUGUCAAAACAGCCAGCUGAGCCAGCUGUGAUGGCAGCCCACACCUGUAACCCCAGCACUGUGGGAGGCCGUGGUGGGAGGAUCAGCUGAGACCAGGAGUUUGAGAACAGCCUAGGCAACAUAGGGAGAUGCUCAUCUAUACAAACAAUUUUUGAAAAUUAGCUGGGGCCAGGCGCGGUGGCUCACACCUGUAAUCCCAGCACUUUGGGAGGCCGAGGUGACUGGAUCACCUGAGGUCAGGAGUUCAAGACCGCCUGGCCAACAUGGCGAAAUCCUAUCUCUACUAAAAAUACAAAAAUUAGCCGGGCGUGGUGGCAGGCGCCUGUAAUCCUAGCUACUCAGGAGGCUGAGGCAGGAGA
Molecule: long non-coding RNA, 5077 nt
Organism: Homo sapiens (human)
Lineage: Eukaryota; Metazoa; Chordata; Mammalia; Primates; Hominidae
Gene: NOP14-AS1
Product: NOP14 antisense RNA 1
Source: Ensembl